UAUACAUAUUAUUCAACACACAAAAGCCUAAACGUCAAAAUUUAAUUACAUUCUUAGAACUGCACCAAAAAGUAAUAUGACUCAAAUUAAAAUGGAGCCGGUUUUCAACUGAGGACGUAUAUUUUUUUUAUUGUCCGGAAACGAACAAUAUUAUUAAUAGAAAGAAUAAAACAUCUGAGUUUUUCGUGGUUUUAAACAAUGCUAGUUGCAUUUAGCUUUAUACAUAAAUUAAAAUAAAAUUAAUAAUCAAGGUUGAAGUAAUUUUUCGCCAUAAUUUUCAGUUUCAACUACAUUUUUCAUGUUUCACGGUAAAUUAUUUUAUAAAAAUCAUUGAUGAACAUUUAAGUCUUAUUGGUCAUCCGAUGAUCGAAAUUCAAUCAUAAUCUUAAAUCCCUCAAGAAAUAUACGAAUGAUCUCUUAUGAAGAAAAAAAAACUAAUACCAAAUAUUUUUUUGAAUUCGCACUGACAUGCUUACAAAUGCAUUUUGUAUUUCAUCAAUUAAAUGGACGCAGGUGCAAACUACAUGGCUUUGUUCUUGAGAAAUCAUUUACUAAACAUUGCGUACAUACUCGUGACAUCGCCAUGACACGUAUAACUCGAAAAGGAGCGAAUAUGCGUUGUAUUGGAGGACGAUGAAGUGUUCUCAUUACAGAAACCAUUUAUAGACCGGAUUUAAACUUAAUGCCGCUCCUGGGCACCGGAGAAAGAUCCACCACAAUACUGGAAGAUUUAUAUUAAGAUAUAUUUUAUUUUUCAAAAUUGAAUAACAAAUUUAUUGCAGAAAAUUAAAAAAACCCAUGGAAUUCCAUUCUGAUAAUAUGUGUAUAUGCACUAUAGUGAGCUCACAAUGUGCGCUACUACCAGUAAAAAUUGGUUAAAAUGGCUGUCAAAAAUUUAAAAUCGAUCUCACUCACUCUCCGCUAAUUACAACUAAAAACUAAUCUCAUACUGAGACAACAGCCAUAACAUCAAACAAAUUAACUUUACCACACAGCACUGAAUAUUCUAUCAAGCGAAUGAGUUUCGAAUUCGGCUGCGAGGAUUCUACCUGUCAUUCGCCUGUUCAAUUAAGACUUCAUCGCAAGUUGAAAAUUCUCCUAUUUCAAACUUUCAUAUAAUCCUAAUGAAAAAGUUCAUUAGUAACCUAGGACUUUGCUAAUAUGAAACCAGUGGACGAAGCGUACGCAUUUAACUCUUUAUCUUUUAAUAAUAAAUGAAGCACAGUGUGCAAAUAUACAUA
Long non-coding RNA from Bombyx mori (domestic silkworm), 1241 nucleotides. RefSeq lists it as uncharacterized. Lineage: Eukaryota; Metazoa; Arthropoda; Insecta; Lepidoptera; Bombycidae. The transcript has 3 exons. The record is from RefSeq and is a predicted model, not a curated record.